Molecule: ribosomal RNA, 465 nt
Filed under: uncultured bacterium
Lineage: Bacteria
Description: partial 16S ribosomal RNA
Rfam family: Bacterial small subunit ribosomal RNA
Source: RNAcentral
GACGAACGCUGGCGGCGUGCUUAACACAUGCAAGUCAAACGGAAAGGCCCCUUUGGGGGUACUCGAGUGGCGAACGGGUGAGUAACACGUGAGUAACCUGCCCUUGACUUCGGGAUAACUUCAGGAAACUGGGGCUAAUACCGGAUAGGAAUCCUUGCUGCAUGGUGGGGGUUGGAAAGCUUCGGCGGUUUUGGAUGGACUCGCGGCUUAUCAGCUUGUUGGUGGGGUAGUGGCUUACCAAGGCUUUGACGGGUAGCCGGCCUGAGAGGGCGACCGGCCACAUUGGGACUGAGAUACGGCCCAGACUCCUACGGGAGGCAGCAGUGGGGAAUAUUGCACAAUGGGCGGAAGCCUGAUGCAGCAACGCCGCGGGCGGGAUGACGGCCUUCGGGUUGUAAACCGCUUUCAGCAGGGGCGAAGCUUGUGGUGACGGUACCUGCAGAAGAAGCACCGGCUAACUACGUG